AUCGAUGAAGAACGCAGCGAAAUGCGAUAAGUAAUGUGAAUUGCAGAAUUCAGUGAAUCAUCGAAUCUUUGAACGCACAUUGCGCCCAUUAGUAUUCUAUUGGGCAUGCCUGUUCGAGCGUCAUUUCAACCCUUAAGCUCAGCUUAGUAUUGGGAAUCUACUGUGAGUGGUGCUACCCUGUAGCUACCCUGUAGUUCCUCAAAUCGAACGGCGGAGUUACAGUUAUCUCUGAGCGCAGUAAUUUUUAUAACGCUUUGGAAGAUGCUGUAAUCCCAGCCGCUAAACCCCCAAUUUUUUAAUGGUUGACCUCGGAUCAGGUAGGAAUACCCGCUGAACUUAAGCAUAUCAAUAAGCGGAGGAAAAGAAACCAACAGGGAUUGCCCUAGUAACGGCGAGUGAAGCGGCAACAGCUCAAAUUUGAAAUCUGGCCUUUGGUCCGAGUUGUAAUUUGUAGAGGAUGAUUUUGGUGCGGUACUUUCCGAGUUCCCUGGAACGGGACGCCUUAGAGGGUGAGAGCCCCGUACGGUUGGAUGCCUAGCCUCUGUAAAUCUCCUUCGACGAGUCGAGUAGUUUGGGAAUGCUGCUCUAAAUGGGAGGUAAAUUUCUUCUAAAGCUAAAUACUAGCCAGAGACCGAUAGCGCACAAGUAGAGUGAUCGAAAGAUGAAAAGCACUUUGAAAAGAGGGUUAAACAGCACGUGAAAUUGUUAAAAGGGAAGCGCUUAUGACCAGACUUUUUCUAGGCGGAUCAUCCGGUGUUCUCACCGGUGCACUUCACUUAGUUUAGGCCAGCAUCGGUUUCUAUAGGGAGAUAAAAGCUUUAGGAAUGUGGCUCUUUCGGGAGUGUUAUAGCCUAUUGUAUAAUAUCCUUACGGGGACCGAGGUACGCGCUCUGCAAGGAUGCUGGCAUAAUGGUCAUUAGCGACCCGUCUUGAAACACGG
This 940-nucleotide ribosomal RNA is filed under the name uncultured fungus. RNAcentral describes it as "eukaryotic LSU rRNA". The stretch from base 304 to 940 matches the Rfam family "Eukaryotic large subunit ribosomal RNA", at positions 1 to 664 of the family's 3401-position model. Lineage: Eukaryota; Fungi. The record is from RNAcentral.